UACGGAGGGUGCAAGCGUUGUCCGGAUUUAUUGGGUUUAAAGGGUGCGUAGGCGGCCUUUUAAGUCAGGGGUGAAAUCCCGGGGCUCAACCCCGGAACUGCCUUUGAUACUGGGAGGCUUGAGUUCGGUAGAGGCGGGCGGAACUGGUGGUGUAGCGGUGAAAUGCAUAGAUACCACCAAGAACCCCGAUUGCGAAGGCAGCUCGCUGUGCCGAAACUGACGCUGAGGCACGAAAGCGUGGGGAGCGAACAGG
Molecule: ribosomal RNA, 253 nt
Filed under: uncultured bacterium
Lineage: Bacteria
Description: partial 16S ribosomal RNA
Rfam family: Bacterial small subunit ribosomal RNA
Source: RNAcentral